GUCUUGAAGAUUGAAACAUGUACUAAAACUGGAAUAAUACAGAGAAAAUUAGCAUGGCUAAUUACGCAAGGAUGACAUGCAAAUUNGUGAAGUGUUUCAAAUUUUU
This 106-nucleotide small nuclear RNA is filed under the name Salvator merianae (Argentine black and white tegu). Lineage: Eukaryota; Metazoa; Chordata; Lepidosauria; Squamata; Teiidae. The record is from RNAcentral.